AAGUCGUAACAAGGUUUCCGUAGGUGAACCUGCGGAAGGAUCAUUAUCAAUUCAAUAGGACAGACGACCCGCCUUGGGUUCCUGUCACUGUUGCACCCUUUGUCUUUGCGUACUGUAUGUUUCCUCGGUGGGCUCGCCCGCCGAUAGGACAUUCUAUAAACCCUUUGUAAUUGCAAUCAGCGUCAGAAAAAACUAUAAUAGUUACAACUUUCAACAACGGAUCUCUUGGUUCUG
This 234-nucleotide unclassified non-coding RNA is filed under the name Setophaeosphaeria badalingensis. RNAcentral describes it as "partial internal transcribed spacer region". The stretch from base 1 to 46 matches the Rfam family "Eukaryotic small subunit ribosomal RNA", at positions 1786 to 1831 of the family's 1831-position model. Lineage: Eukaryota; Fungi; Ascomycota; Dothideomycetes; Pleosporales; Phaeosphaeriaceae. The record is from RNAcentral.